This 393-nucleotide ribosomal RNA is filed under the name uncultured bacterium. RNAcentral's name for it is "bacterial SSU rRNA". It matches the Rfam family "Bacterial small subunit ribosomal RNA", at positions 28 to 419 of the family's 1533-position model. The record is from RNAcentral.
GACGAACGCUGGCGGCGUGCUUAACACAUGCAAGUCGAGCGGUAAGGCCCUUUCGGGGGUACGACGAGCGGCGAACGGGUGAGUAACACGUGGGUGACCUGCCCUCCAGCUCUGGGAGUAAGCCUGGGAAACCGGGUCUAAUACUGGAUAUGACUCCAUGACGCAUGUUGUGGGGUGGAAAGCCUUGUGCGGCUGAGGAUGGGCCCGCGGCCUAUCAGCUUGUUGGUGGGGUGAUGGCCUACCAAGGCGACGACGGGUAGCCGGCCUGAGAGGGCGACCGGCCACACUGGGACUGAGACACGGCCCAGACUCCUACGGGAGGCAGCAGUGGGGAAUCUUGCGCAAUGGGCGAAAGCCUGACGCAGCGACGCCGCGUGAGGGAUGACGGCCUGG